AAAGAAAAUGAAAAUAUCUUUAAUUCCAACAAUAAUUUGCAAAACCUUUUGUAAAGUUUAUUUAUUUAAAUUUAUAUGCAUUGCAUAUUUAUUUAAUUAAGCAUUCAAGCAUUUACACGAGGUAAUUAUUUAGCGAAUACUAAACGAUUUUUACAAUUUUGAUAAUUAUAUCAUGAAGAUUUUAAUUGUCCAAUCAAUGCUUUAACUCAACCAUACCCUAUACUCCUACAAGCCACCCUAUGCCUGCCCCCAAUUUGAGGCCAUGCCUGCAGAUUCAAAUAUCUACCACAUCUCAAGUUACACUCCAGCCAAUUCACCAUUUUCAUGAAUUACACUCUCUUCAAUUAUUUGCCAUGCUCUCUCUAUCUGUCGUAAGAAGAAAUGAAAAACUCGAAGCGCUGGACUUUACCAUUUUGAUUCAAUAAACCCAGCAGCCAACCCAAAUCAAAAUGACAGCCACGCUCAUCAUCCACCCAAGGCUUUGUGGACCAAGGGGAUUAGCACUGCUUUCCCAAGAUGAGUUUAUGUGAUUAUGAUCUUCAGGCUUUGCCUAACCAGGUGGGCUUACUUUCCAAAUGUAUAAAGUAUGAUUGAGUUAUUAAGCUCUAAAUGUUUCAAUGAAAUGAAAAUUAUUUAUUCAAUGAAAUGCAAACUGUUUAUCCAAUAAAAUGUUUAUGUGCACUCUCCUCUGUUUAAGGCUCGCCACAACGAAUCAAUUGAGGCUCUCUCAUGGCCUAACACGUUAUUUGAGAAUUGUGUACACUCGUUAGCUCACCUGGUGGGUUGAUCUCCAUCGGGCACUAACUAAGAGGCGUUAUAAGGGUGCUUGCUGGAUGUGUUCCGAAGCAUGUAAUGUAAGGGCCUGCCUGGGUAGUGUCCCGAGGUCAAUUCAACUUGUCUGAGUUACGUCCUCAGGGCAAGUGCAAUGGGAGAAAUGGAUCCGUCGGUGGCUUAAAGGUCCGGGAUCACAGCGAGUAACAGAAAGGGAGUGUGACAUGUGCGCACAAAUGAAAGAAAUUAUUUUAACAUGCUUAGAAGUUAUUUCACUUUAAAACCUUCUAAGUUAUGUCAAGUAUGAUUGGAUAACUGUCUUUAAGAAAAUAUGAAAUGUUUAUGAAUAUGCAUGCCCACUGAGUACAUUAGUACUUAGCCAAAAAAUACUUUCAAAUGUUUUCAGGUUGGCUGGCCGAUGCUGACGGGACGGAGCUGAGGCUAGGGUUAAAUUCCUUUGUUAGACUUCCGCUGUAGCAAUUACUCAUAUUCGUCUUUUGUUUUUCCAACUUAAGAUCUUCAUGUUAAAUUUCAAAUGAUAUACCUGACCGAGCUUAGACUCUUCACUACUAAAUUUAUGCUAAUGAAUGUCGGUUGUCAGAAGCAUGAAACAAAA
Salvia miltiorrhiza (redroot sage) is the source of this 1387-nucleotide long non-coding RNA. RefSeq lists it as uncharacterized. NCBI's taxonomy places the organism in Eukaryota, Viridiplantae, Streptophyta, Magnoliopsida, Lamiales, Lamiaceae. The transcript is spliced from 2 exons. The record is from RefSeq and is a predicted model, not a curated record.